AACUUAAAGGAAUUGACGGAAGGGCACCACCAGGAGUGGAGCCUGCGGCUUAAUUUGACUCAACACGGGGAAACUCACCAGGUCCAGACACAAUAAGGAUUGACAGAUUGAGAGCUCUUUCUUGAUUUUGUGGGUGGUGGUGCAUGGCCGUUCUUAGUUGGUGGAGUGAUUUGUCUGCUUAAUUGCGAUAACGAACGAGACCUUAACCUACUAAAUAGUGCUGCUAGCUUUUGCUGGUAUAGUCACUUCUUAGAGGGACUAUCGAUUUCAAGUCGAUGGAAGUUUGAGGCAAUAACAGGUCUGUGAUGCCCUUAGACGUUCUGGGCCGCACGCGCGCUACACUGACGGAGCCAGCGAGUUCUAACCUUGGCCGAGAGGUCUGGGUAAUCUUGUGAAACUCCGUCGUGCUGGGGAUAGAGCAUUGUAAUUAUUGCUCUUCAACGAGGAAUUCCUAGUAAGCGCAAGUCAUCAGCUUGCGUUGAUUACGUCCCUGCCCUUUGUACACACCGCCCGUCGCUACUACCGAUUGAAUGGCUUAGUGAGGCUUCCGGAUUGGUUUAAAGAAGGGGGCAACUCCAUCUUGGAACCGAAAAGCUAUUCAAACUUGGUCAUUUAGAGGAAGUAAAAGUCGUAACAAGGUUUCCGUAGGUGAACCUGCGGA
RNAcentral lists this ribosomal RNA (661 nucleotides) under [Candida] sp. RWT21. Its description in RNAcentral is "SSU rRNA". It matches the Rfam family "Eukaryotic small subunit ribosomal RNA", at positions 1141 to 1821 of the family's 1831-position model. The record is from RNAcentral. Lineage: Eukaryota; Fungi; Ascomycota; Saccharomycetes; Saccharomycetales.